UGUCUGCAUCAAGAGAAGGGCUGACGCCCUCGCCAACCUGCCCGACCCGGCAAGGUGGCUUCCCGAAAGGGAGAUGCGGCCAAGGACGGCAACCAAGGGGUCCAAA
This 106-nucleotide non-coding RNA is filed under the name unclassified sequences. The record is from Rfam.